This is a long non-coding RNA of Syngnathus acus (greater pipefish), 1923 nucleotides long. RefSeq lists it as uncharacterized. The transcript has 7 exons. NCBI's taxonomy places the organism in Eukaryota, Metazoa, Chordata, Actinopteri, Syngnathiformes, Syngnathidae. The record is from RefSeq and is a predicted model, not a curated record.
UGCUCCUUGUGGCCAUGAUGCCGGCGAGAAGAUUUCCUCUUCAGCGCCGGCUGUCGCGGAGCGGGCUGACAUCGGCAUUCCACGUGAUCCAUCACGGACACCACGGCUUUAGCGUAUCUGGUGUGGGUGACAACAGGGACGCACUGAAGGCUUUUGGUGUUACAGCAACCGGAGCAGCGCUGCACCUCCACACAUGGUGGCCAUAGCAGGAAGUUAGCAUUGCUUCGGUCCAACAUUGCCCUGGUGACCUCCACCACCUCCGUGCGAACUUUACACACGGCCUGCUGGGCUGGCUGAGCAACUGGAGGAGGAAAAGACAAAUUAAAAAGGUUAAUGGGAAUGAUUUUCAGCAUGUCACCAAGCCCAUACUUGUCACAUAAAUCAAGGCCCGGAGAGACAACCGAAUGAAGAUAAAGUACAUCUUCAUUCACCAAGAAAAUCAGGAAUCUUCCAUGCCGGCACUCGGAGCAACUGCAUUCAUCAUGACGUGCACUUACAUACAUAAUUCGACAUGUAUUUUCUUGUCUUCUAUUUGACAGGUUUGGAUAUGAGAAAGGUCUUUGGGUGUAAUAUAUUCCUUUGGACCAGUUAAAUUCAAACAAGCAGGUCUUUACCUACGGAAUCAGUCAGCAGAAGCAGCUGGAGGUCGUCGAUGGAGGAGAUGGGACUAUUUCUAACCAGCUCCAGCAGGGCCGCAGGAAGUGGAUCCCCCUGAACGACAUCAAAUAAAAUGAGAUUCAUCCUUGUUUAGUCAGUAUUUAACUAAAUGGGUCAAAGGAGCCAGGAAGGAGCCAGGAAGUGGGGGAAGGAGUGAUACAGAGAGGAGAAGAGAAGGGAGGCAGGCAUGUCAAAAAGGAGAUGAAGAAAAGAAUGGACAAGGAUCAGACGUGGGGUCGGGACACUUGCUCGCUGGCGUCGGUUCAAAUGCGAGGAGGAGCUUCAUGUUACUCGAAAGUGCAUUAGACGUCAUGAAUUAAGUCAUGUUGCACUCAUUUAUGGAAAAUAGAACAUCCGAAAUCUGGAGAAUUUAAUGAAGCUCUUUAGGAAGCCAAAGCCAGCCAUCCAUGCAUGAGCGGGCGCGUACUUCACGACGCCGUUUCCUGCAUUGUUGCUUGCCCCCUUUUCAGAGAGUCCAAGCGGGGAAAUGCCUGCUGUAAUUCUGCUCGCAUCUCUGUUGUCGAGCUGCAGAUGCCCCAGAGGAGUCAUCAUUAUUUCCUUUCCUCGCCAGCAGAGCCAACCUGCUUGCUUGGAUAAUUGUGUUUGAUGUUAAUUAUAGGACCUGGGCCUUUUUUCACAGCCCUGCCUGCCUUCUGUCAAGGUUUAGAAAUUUAUUAUCUCUAAACAAACCUAGAAAAAUUGUGCUACUGAAUUAAUUGCGUGUCACAAAUACAUUGACAAUUUUGACCUAUGUGACUUGAAAUUUUAAUUUGAUGGCUUUUUUUUAUGGAAUAUAAAACAUGUAAUAAUAAUUCCUUCUGUUUCUAUACACUCUUUUUCAGCAUUUAUGCAAUCAUUUUCCAGCUUGUGACAUAUUUGAAAUUGAUUGUAUUUUCAGAGCCCUAAUCUGGUAGCCGUCGAGUGGAUGUAUUGAGGAAUGCCAGUUGGAUUCCCAGCCACCCGCCAUGGCGGGUCCCAUGCCCGGAAAGACAUCCGGCGUAGAAACGGUGCCAACCAAAUCAAGGCUGUGAGGCAACCUUACAAAAUACCAAAGGUGGGAGUAAGGCACAUAUGUGCAAGUCAUAAGGAAGUCUCAAGUCUUGACCUUCAACUUUCAAGCGAGUCCAAAAAAACAAAGGAAGGCGAUUUGAGUCGCCAGUAAAAUUUCAAGUCAUCACUUUGCUUCCUCUGCUCUUAACGUUGUACAUCAAGUCAAAUUUAGUUCAUUUCAACCAGCUGCACUGUGAAAUGUUUGUAUAUUUUUCU